UACGAAGGGAGCUAGCGUUGUUCGGAAUCACUGGGCGUAAAGCGCACGUAGGCGGACCAGUUAGUUGGGGGUGAAAUCCCGGGGCUCAACCCCGGAACUGCCUCCAAAACUGCUGGUCUGGAGGUCGAGAGAGGUGAGUGGAAUUCCGAGUGUAGAGGUGAAAUUCGUAGAUAUUCGGAGGAACACCAGUGGCGAAGGCGGCUCACUGGCUCGAUACUGACGCUGAGGUGCGAAAGCGUGGGGAGCAAACAGG
RNAcentral lists this ribosomal RNA (253 nucleotides) under uncultured bacterium. RNAcentral's name for it is "partial 16S ribosomal RNA". It matches the Rfam family "Bacterial small subunit ribosomal RNA", at positions 524 to 776 of the family's 1533-position model. The record is from RNAcentral.